RNAcentral lists this microRNA (28 nucleotides) under Hyalella azteca. RNAcentral describes it as "miR-282". The record is from RNAcentral. Lineage: Eukaryota; Metazoa; Arthropoda; Malacostraca; Amphipoda; Hyalellidae.
AAUUUAGCCUCUUCUAGGCUUUGUCUGU